AUUGAACGCUGGCGGCAGGCCUAACACAUGCAAGUCGAGCGGAUGAAGGGAGCUUGCUCCUGGAUUCAGCGGCGGACGGGUGAGUAAUGCCUAGGAAUCUGCCUGGUAGUGGGGGAUAACGUCCGGAAACGGGCGCUAAUACCGCAUACGUCCUGAGGGAGAAAGUGGGGGAUCUUCGGACCUCACGCUAUCAGAUGAGCCUAGGUCGGAUUAGCUAGUUGGUGGGGUAAAGGCCUACCAAGGCGACGAUCCGUAACUGGUCUGAGAGGAUGAUCAGUCACAUUGGAACUGAGACACGGUCCAGAGUCCUACGGGAGGCAGCAGUGGGGAAUAUUGGACAAUGGGCGAAAGCCUGAUCCAGCCAUGCCGCGUGUGUGAAGAAGGUCUUCGGAUUGUAAAGCACUUUAAGUUGGGAGGAAGGGCAGUAAGUUAAUACCUUGCUGUUUUGACGUUACCAACAAAAUAAGCACCGGCUAACUUCGUG
RNAcentral lists this ribosomal RNA (484 nucleotides) under uncultured bacterium. RNAcentral's name for it is "partial 16S ribosomal RNA". It matches the Rfam family "Bacterial small subunit ribosomal RNA", at positions 30 to 507 of the family's 1533-position model. The record is from RNAcentral.